GACGAACGCUGGCGGCGUGCUUAACACAUGCAAGUCGAACGGAAAGGCCCUGCUUUUGUGGGGUGCUCGAGUGGCGAACGUGAGAGUAACACGUUAGUAACCUGCCCUUGACUUUGGGAUAACUUCAGGAAACUGGGGCUAAUACCGGAUAGGAGCUCCUGCGGCAUGGUGGGGGUUGGAAAGUUUCGGCGGUUUGGGAUGGACUCGCGGCUUAUCAGCUUGUUGGUGGGGUAGUGGCUUACCAAGGCUUUGACGGGUAGCCGGCCUGAGAGGGUGACCGGCCACAUUGGGACUGAGAUGAGGCCCAGACUCCUACGGGAGGCAGCAGUGGGGAAUAUUGCACAAUGGGCGGAAGCCUGAUGCAGCAACGCCGCGUGCGGGAUGAAGGCCUUCGGGUUGUAAACCGCUUUCGCCUGUGACGAAGCGUGAGUGACGGUAAUGGGUAAAGAAGCACCGGCUAACUACGUG
RNAcentral lists this ribosomal RNA (468 nucleotides) under uncultured bacterium. RNAcentral's name for it is "partial 16S ribosomal RNA". It matches the Rfam family "Bacterial small subunit ribosomal RNA", at positions 28 to 507 of the family's 1533-position model. The record is from RNAcentral.